This 496-nucleotide ribosomal RNA is filed under the name uncultured bacterium. RNAcentral's name for it is "partial 16S ribosomal RNA". It matches the Rfam family "Bacterial small subunit ribosomal RNA", at positions 28 to 506 of the family's 1533-position model. The record is from RNAcentral.
GAUGAACGCUGGCGGCGUGCCUAAUACAUGCAAGUCGAGCGAACAGACGAGGAGCUUGCUCCUCUGACGUUAGCGGCGGACGGGUGAGUAACACGUGGAUAACCUACCUAUAAGACUGGGAUAACUUCGGGAAACCGGAGCUAAUACCGGAUAAUAUAUUGAACCGCAUGGUUCAAUAGUGAAAGACGGUUUUGCUGUCACUUAUAGAUGGAUCCGCGCCGCAUUAGCUAGUUGGUAAGGUAACGGCUUACCAAGGCAACGAUGCGUAGCCGACCUGAGAGGGUGAUCGGCCACACUGGAACUGAGACACGGUCCAGACCCCUACGGGAGGCAGCAGUAGGAAAUCUUCCGCAAUGGGCGAAAGCCUGACGGAGCAACGCCGCGUGAGUGAUGAAGGUCUUCGGAUCGUAAAACUCUGGUAUUAGGUAAGAACAAAUGGGGAAGUAACUAUGCACGUCUUGACGGUACCGAAUCAGAAAGCCACGGCUAACUACGU